RNAcentral lists this ribosomal RNA (538 nucleotides) under Babesia capreoli. RNAcentral's name for it is "SSU rRNA". It matches the Rfam family "Eukaryotic small subunit ribosomal RNA", at positions 511 to 1099 of the family's 1831-position model. Lineage: Eukaryota; Apicomplexa; Aconoidasida; Piroplasmida; Babesiidae. The record is from RNAcentral.
GGAAUGAUGGUGACCUAAACCCUCACCAGAGUAACAAUUGGAGGGCAAGUCUGGUGCCAGCAGCCGCGGUAAUUCCAGCUCCAAUAGCGUAUAUUAAACUUGUUGCAGUUAAAAAGCUCGUAGUUGAAUUUUUGCGUGGUGUUAAUAUUGACUGAUGUCGAGAUUGCACUUCGCUUUUGGGAUUUUUCCCUUUUUACUUUGAGAAAAUUAGAGUGUUUCAAGCAGACUUUUGUCUUGAAUACUUCAGCAUGGAAUAAUAGAGUAGGACUUUGGUUCUAUUUUGUUGGUUUGUGAACCUUAGUAAUGGUUAAUAGGAACGGUUGGGGGCAUUCGUAUUUAACUGUCAGAGGUGAAAUUCUUAGAUUUGUUAAAGACGAACUACUGCGAAAGCAUUUGCCAAGGACGUUUUCAUUAAUCAAGAACGAAAGUUAGGGGAUCGAAGACGAUCAGAUACCGUCGUAGUCCUAACCAUAAACUAUGCCGACUAGGGAUUGGAGGUCGUCAUUUUUCCGACUCCUUCAGCACCUUGAGAGAAAUC